AAGCCUUAGCAGCCUGUAAAGGUGCUCCUCGACACACGAUAAAGAAACGAGGUUUAGCUAGUCAGUUUAAAUCUGGCAAGACCGUCAAAUUGCGGGCAGUCCCUAAAGAUUUCACUACCAAGCGACAGUGGAAACAUUGUCGUGGCCUGAGUAACGCUCAAGGGUAUGGUCACAACGUUUCCGUAGGUGAACCUGCGGAAGGAUCAUUA
Molecule: ribosomal RNA, 209 nt
Filed under: Paracladophialophora cyperacearum
Lineage: Eukaryota; Fungi; Ascomycota; Eurotiomycetes
Description: partial 18S ribosomal RNA
Source: RNAcentral